GACGAACGCUGGCGGCGUGCUUAACACAUGCAAGUCGAACGAAGAGCGAUGGACGCUUGCUUCUAUCAAUCUUAGUGGCGAACGGGUGAGUAACGCGUAAUCAACCUGCCCUUCAGAGGGGGACAACAGUUGGAAACGACUGCUAAUACCGCAUACGAUCUAAUCUCGGCAUCGAGGAUAGAUGAAAGGUGGCCUCUACAUGUAAGCUAUCACUGAAGGAGGGGAUUGCGUCUGAUUAGCUAGUUGGAGGGGUAACGGCCCACCAAGGCGAUGAUCAGUAGCCGGUCUGAGAGGAUGAACGGCCACAUUGGGACUGAGACACGGCCCAGACUCCUACGGGAGGCAGCAGUGGGGAAUCUUCCGCAAUGGACGAAAGUCUGACGGAGCAACGCCGCGUGAGUGAUGACGGCCUUCGGGUUGUAAAGCUCUGUUAAUCGGGACGAAAGGCCUUCUUGCGAAUAGUGAGAAGGAUUGACGGUACCGGAAUAGAAAGCCACGGCUAACUACGUG
This 510-nucleotide ribosomal RNA is filed under the name uncultured bacterium. RNAcentral describes it as "partial 16S ribosomal RNA". It matches the Rfam family "Bacterial small subunit ribosomal RNA", at positions 28 to 507 of the family's 1533-position model. The record is from RNAcentral.